Molecule: non-coding RNA, 81 nt
Filed under: uncultured Parabacteroides sp.
Lineage: Bacteria; Pseudomonadati; Bacteroidota; Bacteroidia; Bacteroidales; Tannerellaceae
Description: TPP riboswitch (THI element)
Rfam family: TPP riboswitch aptamer (THI element)
About the family: Vitamin B(1) in its active form thiamin pyrophosphate (TPP) is an essential coenzyme that is synthesised by coupling of pyrimidine and thiazole moieties in bacteria. The previously detected thiamin-regulatory element, thi box was extended, resulting in a new, highly conserved RNA secondary structure, the THI element, which is widely distributed in eubacteria and also occurs in some archaea.
Source: RNAcentral
CAUAGGGGUGCCUUAAAUAACACGGGCUGAGAUUAUACCCAUUGAACCUGAUUCGGGUAAUGCCGGCGAAGGGAAAGGUAA